AGUGAACGCUGGCGGUAGGCCUAACGCAUGCCAGUCGAACGGCAGCACAGUAAGAGCUUGCUCUUACGGGUGGCGAGUGGCGGACGGGUGAGGAAUACAUCGGAAUCUACUUUUUCGUGGGGGAUAACGUAGGGAAACUUACGCUAAUACCGCACACGACCUACGGGUGAAAGCAGGGGAUCUUCGGACCUUGCGCGAUUGAAUGAGCCGAUGUCGGAUUAGCUAGUUGGCGGGGUAAAGGCCCACCAAGGCGACGAUCCGUAGCUGGUCUGAGAGGAUGAUCAGCCACACUGGAACUGAGACACGGUCCAGACUCCUACGGGAGGCAGCAGUGGGGAAUAUUGGACAAUGGGCGCAAGCCUGAUCCAGCCAUACCGCGUGGGUGAAGAAGGCCUUCGGGUUGUAAAGCCCUUUUGUUGGGAAAGAAAAGCAGCAGGUUAAUACCCCGCUGUUCUGACGGUACCCAAAGAAUAAGCACCGGCUAACUUCGUG
RNAcentral lists this ribosomal RNA (492 nucleotides) under uncultured bacterium. RNAcentral's name for it is "partial 16S ribosomal RNA". It matches the Rfam family "Bacterial small subunit ribosomal RNA", at positions 29 to 507 of the family's 1533-position model. The record is from RNAcentral.